Molecule: ribosomal RNA, 443 nt
Filed under: uncultured bacterium
Lineage: Bacteria
Description: SSU rRNA
Rfam family: Bacterial small subunit ribosomal RNA
Source: RNAcentral
AGAGCGAACGCUGGCGGCAGGCCUAAAACAUGCAAGUCGAACGAACCCUUCGGGGUUAGUGGCGGACGGGUGAGUAACACGUGGGAACGUGCCCUUUGGUUCAGAACAACUCAGGGAAACUUGAGCUAAUACUGAAUAAGCCCUACGGGGGAAAGAUUUAUUGCCAUUGGAGCGGCCCGCGUUGGAUUAGCUAGUUGGUGAGGUAAAGGCUCACCAAGGCUACGAUCCAUAGCUGGUCUGAGAGGAUGAUCAGCCACACUGGGACUGAGACACGGCCCAGACUCCUACGGGAGGCAGCAGUUAGGAAUCUUGCGCAAUGGGCGAAAGCCUGACGCAGCCAUGCCACGUGAAUGAUGAAGGUCUUAGGAUUGUAAAUUCUUUCAGCAGGGAAGAUAAUGACUGUACCUGCAGAAGAAGCUCGGCUAACUCGCGCCAGCAGCCGC